GAAUGGAAACGCAUCGUCCAAAUUCGCACGUUUUUCAACUCCUUUUUUUUUUUUUUUUCAGAAAAAAAAACAAAAAAUGCGUUAUUUUU
This 89-nucleotide non-coding RNA is filed under the name Bathycoccus prasinos. Lineage: Eukaryota; Viridiplantae; Chlorophyta; Mamiellophyceae; Mamiellales; Bathycoccaceae. The record is from RNAcentral.